Molecule: ribosomal RNA, 207 nt
Filed under: uncultured bacterium
Lineage: Bacteria
Description: partial 16S ribosomal RNA
Rfam family: Bacterial small subunit ribosomal RNA
Source: RNAcentral
CUCGUAGGCGGUCCGUCACGUCGGGAGUGAAAACUCGGGGCUCAACCCCGAGCCUGCUUCCGAUACGGGCGGACUAGAGGUAGGUAGGGGAGAACGGAAUUCCUGGUGUAGCGGUGGAGUGCGCAGAUAUCAGGAGGAACACCGGUGGCGAAGGCGGUUCUCUGGGCCUUACCUGACGCUGAGGAGCGAAAGCGUGGGGAGCGAACA